RNAcentral lists this long non-coding RNA (17762 nucleotides) under Triticum aestivum (bread wheat). RNAcentral's name for it is "long non-coding RNA (TAES_LNC015294)". The record is from RNAcentral. Lineage: Eukaryota; Viridiplantae; Streptophyta; Magnoliopsida; Poales; Poaceae.
UUGAUGAGUGAUUAUACCAAUCCAGCCAUCUUUUCGUUGCAUUUACUGUCAGAAUAUGCAUACAUCUCCGCGGUUAUUUCACAGAUAAAGCAAUUCAUCAUGAUCUGUACAGUUCGUGGCACAUACAGCAUGAUCUGCACAGGCAUUUGGUUGAGUUGGUGACAGUCUGGCAGAUACACAUGAUCUGCACAGGCAUUUGGUUGACCCUGCAAUCUAGCCAUUUCUUACUGUUGUUGCCGUGCUGUUGUUUGUGCUGAAAGGAUCGUGAAGCGCCCGUGCCUGUGGUGCUGGUCACAUGGGCUGCAAUUUAUCGAGGUCCGUACAUCUAUGAUGCUCGGAUUAAUGGCCGCCAUUUUUCUAUGCGCAACCAGAUGAGCAUACCUAGGGUCCAGAGAUCGCAUCGAUUCUGUGCUGCUGAUCGAGAUUUCAAUCGGCACUAAUUUUUAAAGGCUCUGUCUGGCUUUGUGUAUCCUAUGUAGGCGAGUGGUGUCUGAGGUCAUUGUGUCCAUGGAAUAAUCUUGAAUCGGAAUUUCGUUUGGAUGGAGCAGUGUGCAAUGCACGCGCAUUUGUGCCAGAGGAAGAUGGAAAUAGAAAAGUUUCUUUUUAAAUUUUAAUGCACCAUCUGGGACCCAGGAAUUUUCUGGGAAAGUUUCCCUUUUUUUUUUCCCAAGACACUGGUUUAUGUGAAACUCUGCAUUUCGAACUUGAGUUUGUUCGAUUUGGAUACGGUGCUCUCUGAAAUUUCAGGCUAUGGUUUGGAUGCUACAGAUGAUAAAUGUUUUUGGACAAUGGUAUCUACAAAUGCUAAAGCUAAACCAGGUUCAUCUUAUGUGGCGGACUCCAGGCUCAUCUUAUUCUGAGCAGCGGUAACAUGGUUUUUCUAUAUCAAAAUGUGUUUGCAUCUGAAAGAGCGGCGGCGAUGUUCAUGGCAGGUGCCGGAUGGCGGAUUCCUUGGCCCUGGAUCAGAUCCGGCCUGGGGCGGGGGGCAGGACCUGCAGCGGCGGCCUUCCUGGAAGAGGCGGCACCAGGCCCUGCGAGGCGACGGCGGUGGGAUGGCGGCGGCCUUGGCCCUGGCCCUGACGAGGCCUCCCUGCCAACAGAUUGCAGCGACUGGAUCGAGCUCGCCGCAGGUGAAAACAAGUGAAAUAAAAAACAAGUGAAAUAAAGAGCGGCGAUGUCGACCCUUCAUGACGAACUUGGUAGUCCCUCCAGCUUCACUGUAGGCGCCUUGGGAUGGUUGGCAAGCUGGGUCUCCAAGUUGCUCUUGAUCGCCUCAUCAUUGGUACCCUGGAGCAAGACUUCUUUGAGCUCGGACAGAAAGUUCAGGCCCUUGAGAUGGUACGACGCGCUGGAGCAGUCGAUCUUCAGCAGCUCGACGCUCUUCAUCGACCUCGAUCCGAAGGUCACGUGUAGCUCGCUGGCGCCGGAGGCCAUCUCGAGGAUCUUCACCUUCUUGAAGGUGACCAGCUCCUCCCCAUACAUCUUGGCGUGAAAAUGGAGCUUGCCAUCCUGAAGCUGUCCGACUCGGAGACGCAGGAUGCAUAGCUCCGGUAGAUUGUUGCCCAGGAACUCGACGUCAUCUUCCUUUAAGGCGUCCAUCUCCAGGUCCAGCUUCAUGAGCUUGCUGAGGUUCUCUGAUGGUGGCAGCUUGUCUUGAAGCCCGUGGAGUGUGAGGCUCCGCAGGUUCUCCCAAGGCAGGGUGAUUUCGUCCAGGCAGCCUUGGCUGUCCUUGCCCAGCCGCACCAGCAAGGAUUCCAGAUGCACAAGGCCUGAGGUUGCAGAGAAGAAGUCCUUGCUGUUAUGCCUGGUGAUGCCAGACACUCCGAGCUUGCGCAGCUGGGUGAGUUUCCUGAGCUCUUCCACGACGGCCUUCCCUCCUGAAGCACCGACGUCGACGACGCCGAGUGUGUGCAGCGCCGUCAGUUUUCCGAUCCCUUUGGGCACCUUGAUACCAAACAGGCCGCGGCGUCUGUGGAACUUUGGCAACCUGCUGGAUGAGGCAGGCGGUGCUGAUGCUCGGACGGUGGUGCCGGCGCGGAUAUACUGCAGCUUCUGUGACCUUGUGAUGCUCGCUGGCAGUUUGCGUAUGGAGGUGUGCCUCACAUCCAGAGUCUGGAGCUGCCUGAGAUCGCCGAGUGAGCUUGGCAGAUGGAAGAUCUCACCGCAUCCUCGUACAGAGAGAAACUUCAGGCGACGCAGACGCUUCACCAUCUUGUCAAGAUCUUCAUCCUUUACACCCAGUGCGUCCUCCAGAUCAAGCACCCGAAGUAGCCUCAUACUCUUAGAGAUGAAGAAUGAUUCCCACUUUCCAAACACUGUCAGCGACCGUAGCCGUGAGAAGUCGAUGCUCUCAAACACAAUCUUGUCUCUGUCCCAGUCUCUCAAUAUGAUGAGGUGUCUCCCUGUGCGGUGGGUGGUUAGGACGCAAUUGGGCCCGAGUUCAAACACAAGGUUCUCUUCCAUUCUGCGCGAGACAAUGUACUCACGGAUGAAGCCAUUGACCUGGCACGAGACCAUACUUGUGUCAUUGUAUGCAGUGGUGACCAACUGUGGUAUCUGCUGAAUUAUGCUCAGCUCGAGGAGCUUGGAGAAGAAGCUCUCCCCUUUGUCAACAGCAGAUUCUUCAUCACUGUCUCUAGAGUAACCUUCUGCAAUCCACCUCCUUACUAGUCGCCUUUGCCGAAUGCCGUGGUGCCGAGGAAAAAUUGACAGGUAGAAGAUGCAUGGCUUGAGUGAAUCUGGGCAAGUACGGAAGUACGAGUGCAUCCAAUCAAACAGGCCCUUGAGACACUCAUAAUCUGGAUUGGUCUCUAGAUGCUGCAUAAAUUUUUGAUUCAGUGAGCGCACAGUAUCCAUCAAUGUUACCGUCUGUGUGGCCAAUAAGGCAGCUAUAGAAACUAUCACUUUGGGAAGACCUCCACACUUCAGAAUAAGCUCUUCUAGCUCCACAUCUUCGUGAUCCUUUAAAGGGGAUGAAGGAUUUUUCCUGUGUACCUAUUGUUCAAACAAUUUUAACAUUAGUCAACAUCAGUUAAUUAGGAUAUACAGAAUGUGCAGAGCCUCCAGGAUGUCGUUCUGGAUAUACAAAAUGCACUCAUUUGUAAUAUUUUUAUUUUUCUGCAAGUGACAUGAGGACGCAUUAUAUCAAAAUUGAACGUCAACUACGGUUUUGAAUUAUUUUUUCCCACGUAUAUAUUUAAAAUGUUUAGAGCCUCCAGGCUGUCAUUCUGGAUAUGCAAAUGCACUCAUUUAAUAACUGUUAGUUGUGUGCAUCCAAUGUACAUAGGCAUAUAUACUCCCUCCGUUCUCAAAUAUAUGAUGUUUUGGUAGUUCAAAUUGAACUACCAAAAUGUCAUGUAUUUAGGAACAGAGGGAGUAGUUUUGAUUCUGUGAGUGAAGGAGGACAAAGCAAACCCAUGCAUGAAGUGGUAUGUUUGUGACAGCAUACGUCCAAGGAGCUAGCUAAAUAUUGUAGCUCUCUCAAAAAAACAAAGAAAAUCUACAUAAUAUAGCUUGUAAGAAAACACACCUCUGUCCUGAAGAGAUCCAUGGCCGCUACAGCUUCUAGACCUUUGACAUUAAAGACUUGCCCUUCGUUAUUUGUGCAAUAUGUGGCAACACCGGCUUCGGUUGUAAUAACAAUGAUAACACUUGAAGAAGGUCUAGAUACCAAUGCAGACUGUAUUAAGUCCCAUUCUUCUUUGGACUGGAGAUCAUCAAUAAUGACCAGACACUGAUUUUCGCUCAGUAGCUCACGGCACUCUUUAAUGGGGUCUUUUUCUGAAUGAUGAUCCAAAAGUAAGCUCCGAGAAAAAUCCCUUAAAUUGAAUGGAUGUGAUACAUCCACCCAACUGUACUUGUUAAAUUGGUUGCUGUGAAGCAUUCUGUCAUAGUACAAGUUUCGAACAAGAGCUGAUUUCCCAAUGCCAGCUAUCCCCCAAACAGAUAUAACUGGAGAAUUGCUGAAGCGGGCCCUGGCUGUAUAGCUGCGAAGCUCAGUCAUUUCUAACUCACGUCCAACAAGGGGAUAAUUUUUCAUAUAGUCCUCGAUCCCUUUAAUAUUGGAGGAGGGAAUCUUUUCCAAGGACGAAUUCGGGCUCACUUCACACACCAUUGGUUUCUCUUCUUUGGGUCCAUAGUCUUGAGAACCCUGGAUGCGGGGAGAGAUGUUAACACACAGGACUGAGGCAAAAGGUACAUACAGAACUUUAAAUGUAUUUCCUUGGCUAGCUAUGUAUUUCUCGAAAAAUAAGCUACAUCCAUGGUGAAGGUGGCCAUACUUUUCGACACAUGGGACCUGGGGGUUAGAAAAGGAGUCUUGCUAGAAUUAAACGGUGUCUAACUCGGUUAAACAUGUGAAUUAAGGUUUUGUUAAAUCAUGCAUUUGAACAUAAUUGUUUGUGAAACUGCAGUUCUUAGUGGACAUUGAUGUAUAUUUUUAAUAAGAAUAUCUUUAUUACAUCCAGUGGCAGGUCCAGGUUUCGUGUUCACAGUAUAAGUUCCCUUCAAAAUUUAAAAUUUUCACACCAUGUGAAACAUGACAAUUCUUCAGAAAUUAUAUCAACCAAUUGGGAUGUUGUCUGGCUCAUCAUUGGAACUACCAACUGCACCAACUAAUAAACACUUCUUGGUUCAAAUCUUGAGUACUACUAAUAGAGUUGAUGGUAUGAGGAUAAAUCACUGUUUGCUUGCAUGUGGUGUGGUUAAUAUUACAACAAAGUAAUACAGUUGUAGGUCAGUAGGUGUUCCAUCCAAUACUUGCCAAAAAGUCAUCCAUUGUGAACCGUCAUAUGAAAAGAACUCAUUGUUGAUGCGUUAACACUACUCUGGUGAUCAAGGAUUAAGCGAUUCAUUAAGCAGUGGAGCUUCUAAAGUUUAAUUAGCUAAUGUUAUACUACUAAGUACUAACUAGAUCUGCCAGAUGACAAUAUUUCGACAUUUAUUUGCAUAUUUCGAAAAGACAUGUAUAAAAAUGAUCGAAUGGUAUUGUGAUCAUGUCCAGAUUAAACUGCCAAGUAAAAUGAAAAAAAAUAGAAGUUAGAAAAUAUUUUGCAAACAUAACUUAUGUUGUUUCAUGCCUGAUUAAUUACCUCCUUGAAGAAUGCACAAACCGAGUGCUCAGGUGAGUACUGCUUGAGCUCCAGUGGUUGGUAAGCAUGCCCAAUGCACAAGCUUGCAACCUCGAACUGCUGCGUCGACACGAUGAUCCAGCUGCCAUUCUUCAUGUCGGGCAGGAACGUCCUCACAGCAUCCCAAUCUACCAUGUCAGUUAGGUUCUCCAGCACAACGAGGUAAGUCUUGGUGUUGACUUCCUGCACAAACUCACGUCUGAGCACACCCACAUCUUCCUGCAUGGCCUCCAUUUUUGUGAGGACAUGUACUCCCACAUCUGCUCCUUCCUUGUCGACGCAAGCAUCUGCGGCGUAGACCUGUGCCAUGAAUCGCCGCAUGAACUCAUGGGGAUUGAAAGGAUGCAUGAGCUUUACCCAGACGCGGCAGGCGAAGCUCCGGCAGAUCUCCGGAUCAUUGUACGCCUUCCUGAUGAUCGAGGUUGUCCCAAGAUCACCGCAUGUUCCCCACACCGAGAUCACCUGAAGGUCUCUGUCCUUGUUGGUGAUCAACUGGGCGAGAUCACCCAGGAAUUGCUGCCUUUUCGCCGAAUCCCGAGCCUCGACGAGCAUGUCGGCCGCCACCGUGCCGGCGCCCCGGCCGGAAGCCUGCUGCUGCUGCAGCAUGACGAGGUUGGAGACAGGCUCGCCGAUGCAGCUGUAGCGCGAGUAGCAGGCGCUCAGCUCCUCGGCCCUGCCCUUGAUGACCUCUAUCUCCGCCACCGCCUGGUCCAGCGGCAGCGGGCCGACCACGCACGCCGGGAGCAGGCGGCGCCAGAAGACCGGCUUGCCGUCCAGGUGGCGACGAACUCGACGCAGUCCUCCAGGUCGUAGGCCAGCUCGCGGACGUGCCUCACCCAGGUCCUCACCAGGUUGUUCAUGGCGGCGGCCCUCCCGCCGUUGGCGACGUUCAGGAAGGACUGCAUCAUCUCGAACUCGAGGGUGAUGGUCACCAGGUCCCGCUGCGCCCUGUGCCGCAGCUUGUUGUCCUCGUCGAUGGCCGACUGCACCUUGGUCAGCGCCUCCGCCACCACCGUCUUGGACAGCCCCACCGCCAGGUCCGCCAUGGCUGGCUGGCGCCUCCCCGGCUGGUUCUCUCGAUCUGUGGGACGAGCGGGCCAUGGCUUAAAAUCGGCAUUUUUGCAAAUCAAAUCAACCAGGCGCCGUUUACGGGACUGUUCUGUGUGCGUACCUGGCUUAGAGCUCCCGAGCAAUGGCGAUGCGCGCGCCGUCCGAAUCCCUCUGUUGCGCAGAGAGGGAAAUGAUGGAUUCGAGACUGGUGGUCUCCCUCUCUCGCCUGGCCCCAGAUCUGGCGGCGGCCGGCCGUCUCUACGGCGGGCGGCGAAGGAGAGAUGCUCCCCGCCGGCGGUAGCUGCGAUGGAUUUGCGGCGGACGAGAUGGCCGAGGAGGGGGGAGACCGGGAGAGAGACCAGUGACUCAGUCAGUCAGUCGCCGCUCUUUCGUGGCAGCUACAUAUGGACACGGAGAAGGAAGGGGAAGAAGACAAGAGAGGAAGACCGAAGGGUGGACUCCAUCAUUGACCAGCCAUUGACCGGCCAUAUGAUGAACUCUUUUAUUUUCUUAUCAUUUCUUAUCACCGUGCAGUGGAAAAGUGCUUUACGUAAUUUGCCAAUGUUUCUUGAUGUAGAAGGUGGUUCGUAUAUUACUAAUUGGCAAAGAAAAAAACAUAGCGUGCAUAAGAAUUUUGUCCAACCAUGAAGAAGAGCCUUGCCAUAGCAAUAAAACUGUUGCCUCGGGUUGGAGCCCUGAAAACAGCCUCCUGUAGAAAUGCAUUAAAAAACCAUGUACAAUAGACCCAAAAUGAUCUGACCCUUUUCCGGACUGUACGCAAGCGGGAGCUACAUGCAUCGGGUUACCCAUUUAAAUUUGAAUCAAAUGUUGAAUGUGAACCUAAAUUUAGUAACUUUUGUACUCCCUCCCUAGCUAUUAUAAUAUGUUUCGGAUAUUUCUGUAUGGACUAUAUAAAGGUGGACAAACACAUUAAAAUGUGUCUAUAUACAUGCAUUUGAAUAAAAAAAAUUGGAAUAUCAUAUACAGUAAUUUGGAACGGAGGGAAUAUGUGUAUUCUUUGGUUUUUAAGAUCAAAAUCUGUUAAGCGCAAUUACAUUCACUUUUCUUUCACAGUAUCUGCUAAACUUAUUAUGUGCAUUAUUUCACAUGUUUUCUCGUUUGCACAAAAGUACAAAGGAAUUUCUGAGUGUGUGUGGCGUGAUGACCCGCGAAAGAGAGACUAGUGACUCGGUGACAGUGAGUCAGUCGCUGCUCUCCCGUGGCAGCUACAUACACGGAGAAGGAAGGCGAAGAAGACAAAAGAGGAAGACCAAGGGUGGACUAACUUCAUCAUUGACGAGCCAUAUGAUUAACUCUUUUAAGACUCUUUUAGUUCAUAAGGUAAGAAAAUUAUAAAAAUAGAAAAGUCAUAUAAAAUGAGAUGAUAUGUAUCUCAAAUUUUAUGAAUAAAAAUAAAAAAGAAGGUACCCGUUCACGUCAUAUGACUUUUUCCAUUGAAUCUAGACUAGUAUUUAUUUUCCUAUAAAAUAAGGAGGAUAGAAAAAAUUCCUCCAUAAGAAUAAGACUCUAUUCCUACAAACUAAAGGUCUAAACAACAACAACAAUAAAGCCUUUAGUCCCAACAAGUUGGGAUAGACUAGAGGUAAAACUCAUAAGAUUUCGCGACCAACUCAUGGCUCUGGCACAUGGAUAGCAAGCUUUCAUGCACCCCUGUCCAUAGCUAUCUCUUCGGUGAUACUCUAAUCUUUCAGGUCUCUCUUAACAGACUCCUCCCAUGUCAAAUUCGGUCUACCCCGCCCUCUCUUGACAUUCUCCGCACGCUUUAGCCGUUCUCUAUGCACUGGAGCUUCUGGAGGACUGCGUUGAAUAUGCCCAAACCACCUCAGACGAUGUUGGAUAAGUUUCUCUUCAAUUGGUGCUACCCCAACUCUAUCUUGUAUAUCAUCAUUCUGGACUCGAUCCUUCCUCGUGUGGCCACACACCCAUCUCAACAUAUGCAUCUCCGCCACAUCUAACUGUUGAACAUGUCGCCUUUUAGUCGGCCAACACUCAGCGCCAUACAACAUUGCGGGUCGAACCGCCGUCCUGUAGAACUUGCCCUUUAGCUUUUGUGCCACUCUCUUGUCACUGAGAAUGCCAGAAGCUUGGUGCCACUUCAUCCAUCCGGCUUUGAUUCGAUGGUUCACAUCUUCAUCAAUACCCCCAUCCUCCUGCAGCAUUGACCCAAAAAAUUGAAAGGGCUCCAAAGGAUUUUUUCCUGCAUAAAUCUUAUCCCAUGAAAAUCCUACAAAAUUCCUCCAAACCAAAGAAGACCUUAUUUUCUGAAUCAUAUCAUUCUUAGCAUCAUGUAGUGGAACAAUACUUGAUGUGCUUUUCAAGAUUUCGUUAACAUAGCUAAGUUUUUGUUUGGGGAGCACUUUUGUGAAGGACAAUGUUAUUUCUAGAAAAAAUGGAAUUUUUCUGAUGGACAGAUGUCGUCUAGAAGUCGCGGGUUCUGCACUUCUGCUCGACUACAAUUGCGGGGUGGGUUACACACUAGUUUUGCAAGUUCAUCAUNNNNNNNNNNNNNNNNNNNNNNNNNNNNNNNNNNNNNNNNNNNNNNNNNNNNNNNNNNNNNNNNNNNNNNNNNNNNNNNNNNNNNNNNNNNNNNNNNNNNNNNNNNNNNNNNNNNNNNNNNNNNNNNNNNNNNNNNNNNNNNNNNNNNNNNNNNNNNNNNNNNNNNNNNNNNNNNNNNNNNNNNNNNNNNNNNNNNNNNNNNNNNNNNNNNNNNNNNNNNNNNNNNNNNNNNNNNNNNNNNNNNNNNNNNNNNNNNNNNNNNNNNNNNNNNNNNNNNNNNNNNNNNNNNNNNNNNNNNNNNNNNNNNNNNNNNNNNNNNNNNNNNNNNNNNNNNNNNNNNNNNNNNNNNNNNNNNNNNNNNNNNNNNNNNNNNNNNNNNNNNNNNNNNNNNNNNNNNNNNNNNNNNNNNNNNNNNNNNNNNNNNNNNNUAAAGAGCACUUAAACAUGAAUUGUCUUCUUAGCCGCAUCAACAAUCUCCAUGAAGCUCCGCCAUUGGUGAGAAUAACUUAAACAUGACGACGGUGACGUCCUCUCUGUCUAGAUUGAUGGUAGUGGAUACCAUGUAAAGACAAUGUAAUUCCGCUUUGAGGGCGGACGAGCUAGUGUCUCGUGUCUCUACUUCCUCCGGUCCCGAUGCGACAUUUAGUUGUGGCGAUUGUGUUGCUUUCCGUAACAACAUUACUAUUCAUGAAUGUUCGUUUCUAGACCAUUUUUGCUGCCAAUAAAAUAUCAUCUUUUGUAAAAUGUAAUGUGAGCACACAAAAGCCAUGACUCUUCUCCAACUUUUUUAUUUCCCCCCUAGGAUCUUAUUUUAUUAUUUACCUUUGUUUUUGUUUUUCUGUGAAUGCGUGUGGUUAUAGUGGUAGUUUUCGUGUGGUUUUGGUUUUGGCAGGGGAGAGUGUCAUACUUGAUGCGGUCACCGGGGAUGGUCAAUUUGGUGCAAAGUAUUAUAAGUGCAUCUAUGAACACUACACUACCAUCAAAAUGUGAAGACACCAUGCAUCCGGUCGAUGACUUAAGUCACUCACAAACUGUCGGAGUGUGAUCCUUGAGUGUUGCAAUCGGUGGGUGGAUUGUUCGGAGCAAGUGAACACACUUCCUAGUGGUAACACAAUUGAUGAAUAUGUGACUGAUUUUGUCAUCUUUUUCACUGCAUGUUUAGAAUACAUUUCAAUUAUCUUUGCUCACGAAACCACCUUCUAGUUGUAUGUUGUAGGACAAGUUCAUUCAAGAGAGAUACAAGCAAAAAUAUUAGUCAAAAAGUAAGCCAUUUGCCUUGCACCAUUGUUGGGCAUUUCUCCAAAACUAUGAGAAGUAGAGGAAGAGGAAUGAUGAGGCUCCACCAAAGAGACCGAGGUCAUGUACCUAAUCCUCUCUACAGCUUGAAGAUGGGAUGAAGAUUUUGAUGAACAUAAAAGGAAACAAGGGGUCCUACUUCGGAGUCUAUCAAUGGGUGGCCCGAUGGGAUGAAGAUGGUGAAGAAGAAGCUCAAGAGAGAUGGAGAGAUCGCGACAAUGAAAGACAAGAUUGAUGAGUUGAUCCAAUGCAAAGGAGGUGUCAACUCAAGCUAUGUGCAUGCAAAGUUAGAGUUGACGGAGAAAAAGCAAAAGGAGAAGAUGGCGACAUGGCAAGAGAUGAAAGAGAAUGAGAAGCACAAGGACCGACACGGGUCAGCGUAUGUUUCUUCUCGAUGAGAACCAGUUGAGGCAAGAGAUGGCACCGAGGAGAAUCAACUGAUUAAAGAUGGACCCAGAUGAGAUAUAUGAGAUGAUGUGGACAAGAUGGACCCAGAUGAGACAUAUGAGAUGAUGUGGACGGAGAUCUUGGCAUCUACUCCCUCAGUUUCAAAAUAGAUGACCUAACUUUGUAUUAAAGUUAGUAUAAAGUUGAGUCAUCUAUUUUGGAACGGAGGGAGUAGGAUGUAAUGGAGCGUCGCACACUUGGGAGGGAGGAGUGGUAGGUACUAGCGACAUGUAAUGAUUUUUGUGUUGAAGAUAUGAGCAUGAUGUUGCUUUUGGUUAAACUUCACUUCUGGAUAAUGGUUAUCUUGUUUUAUUCGUGUAUUUUCACCCUCGUGGAUCCAAAACAUAUGAGCAAGAUGAAGUGCAAUCUAUGUGGAAAGCCUACUGGUAAUUUACUUAGGUCUGAUAUUUCAUAAUGGCUCUUGCCAGCGACCAGAAGAACCCAAACACAAUAAAAUUGAAGACAAGCCUCGGCGAUCCUAUUUAUACAGUAUGCAAACAGCUGAGUAUUAGCUUGGGAGCUGUGAUCUACAGGUCCCUGUUAAUGGAGGAUGGCCAUGACAGCCUCCUCUGGUUGAUAUUGUCGAGUCCAUCACUUUCAGGGUUUACGUCGUCCACUUGCUUCCAGGUAUUGAGCAUCGAGCCCUCUCUCCUCUGAGGUGGCGUCAAGAACUUCAAAUCAUCACUGGAGCCACCUGGGGUCAUUGACAGAGAAGAAUGACCAACGCGUAGUGUUUGAAGAGUAGAAAAGGAUUCCCUCAUCGCAGACAUGGCCUCGAAGAACCGGGUGCAGGAUGCAAGCGCAGCAGGUAUCGGUCGUAGCAUUUCCUUCACAGAGAUAAAAGAUAGCCAUUAAUAUUUCCUUAUCUGACUUGGUAUAAUCGUAGACAAGAAAGAGCUGCCAUAAGAAAAUGUGAUCAGAAUGCACAAAAUCAUUCUAUACUGACAUGAUAAAUCAUUUGUCAUCUCUAGAUUUGACAGUGGUAGAAAUAAUAUUUGCAUCUGCAGUGGAAGAUGUUCUGCGCGGGAUAAAUUCACUAUGACUCCUAAUUAAUUUAAUUACCAGAAGGAGUAUUUUCAACUUACACCCCAUACAGCAGGCGACUCUCUGAAGUUUUGACUCCACUGGAAAUCUCCAACUGAUGCUGUCAAUGCCCCAUAAUCACUUGCCGCUUUCAGAAGUAGCUCCGAGAAUUGUUUCUGAGGAGAAGCAAGUACAGUAAGUAGGAAAAAAAUGCGCUUCGCUCAAGAAACCACACAUUCCUAUAUGAAAGAAAUCACCUAAGUAGGUGCACCUAAGAUUCUCCUCCACAUCAAUACAUAGAAUGCCAAGAAUCAUAAAACUGGAUGUAGGUUGCUACUUGAUACACCAUUUUCAGUUCGCAUGUGUAAGUUCAUGAAUCUAUAAAAAUCUGAAAACAAAAUGAUCAAGAACCCAACCUGGUAUUCAGCUUCAACAGGAAUGCAGUCAAGCGAGUAAGGUUGCUGCAGACGGGCAAUAAUGCGGUCCUGAUAGAAAAGAGUUGUUAUUUUGAUAUCCAGAUCUUGUAAUUAGUUGAUUAUGGUAUAUGGAGCAGCCAACAGCACAGGCAGAACUUUCUUUACACAAUAACCUGAGCAACAGGUGGUCCCAAGAAAGAAAGAAAGCAAGCAAAAGAAAUAGUGAUUUCUGACUUCCAGUACCUUGUUUUGAAUAACAUCUUUCAAAAUAGUAGUAAUUCUGGCCAACGAUUCACACUUCUUCUCCAUUUCACUAACAUGAGUCAAAUGAGCAAUGUUUUUAUCAUCCUGCAAUAAAAAAAAGUUCAUCAAUAUGAUCAACGAUGAUAACUGACACAAAUCAAAAGCCCAGAAAACUGAAUACACCAGAAUUUGGAGAUGAUAUGUAGCAAAGUUUACAAGUGAAAUAUAAAUUGAACGCUUGUUAUUCUGCUUGUGAUCACAUUUAAUAGGGCGUAAACAAUUUUAAGUUCUAUACAUCACCAGUUAAAAGCUUUAACCUUGCACAUUUAGAGAGGCUUGGACAUUGCAAUUCAUUUUUCAAGCAUGAAAACCUAGGUAAAGCAAGUGUGAGCACCUAUCAGAUUCAUACACAAAUAUAAGAUUAUUCUUUUCACUUAAGAAGAAAAAAUUAUCCAUGUUAUUAAUAUGCUUUGAUAGCAAAAACAUAUUCACCAUAAUAGUCAAAGUGGACAUAUUGAUAGAAGCAAAUGUAUCUCCAAAAUGCUCUAAUUAUCCAUGAUGUUCUCAUUUCUACCAAGAAUAUGAAUAACCUCAUGGGAAUUUCAUAGUUUCGCCACCACAGUAAGUCAGUAACAGAAUGAAAAGGAUAUUCACUACAGCAGAACAAAUUGAUGAAAUACGAAAACGUUGAUCUAUAGUCAAAGUAAUAUCGCGUAGUAAGGGAUCGGAAAAGGUAAUCAACAAACAAAAACUGCAUAAGUAUUGGCAUGGCACAGAAUUGGUGUAAACAUACAAACAGUAGCAACUGGUCGUCAGUCCAUUACCUUUCUGCCUUGUAGCUCGACUUGCAAAUUGGCAAUGUUCCGCUGCACGACCGUCAGCUCCCUUAAUACCCUCACCAGGUCAUCACUUUUGUCCGAGGUGUUCUGAUCUUCCUGCAAUGGCAAGUGACAACAAAGAAGUGUGAAGACUUAAGAAGCACACAUGACCAUAAUCUGCGAAAUAAAAAGAACAAUCAUUUCAUCACCAUCACUAUUAGUGACAUAGAGCACUGUAAAUUUCACGAAGCUAGACAUCAUAACAAAAACAGAGGGAGACAUAGCAAUCUUACAGAGUAAUAAUUUUAGAUGGGUUACAGCUUAUAACUAGCUCCAAGAUUGCUAGAUUUCAUCAAUAGAUAAAGAACCCUCCAGGUUAUAGUCACCAAACUUAGGAGGAGAUGAUUCCCCAUAGGUGUUCCUCUCAGGACUAGCAAAGCGCACGGGACUCCCCUGAACCUACACGCUCAGCCGUCCAAACCAUGCAGAAAUCGCAGUGAUAGGCUUCUAAUUCGGGAGCGGGACUCGGUUCGAAACCUACAUUUCACAAAUCCCCGGCGGCAAUAAACGAGGAACGGAACCCUACCAUUACCUGAAAGGAACAAGAAUUCGAUCUCGCGAAAUGGCGGCGGAAGGGACGAAAUUGACAGGAGAAGGAUCUGGGGUGACAGAAGUAAAUCUACAGGGCGCAGCCAAGGGGUGGUGGGGGUAACCUGCGCGGGAGGGGCCGGGAAGCCGAGGUCCCCGGCGAUGGCGAGCGCCUCCGCCAUGCCGCCGAGCCGCUUGGCCGGCUUCUGCGCCGCCGCCAUGGCCUCGGCCGGUUGGUGGGGGGUUGGCGGGCGUUUCGAUGAUUUCGCCUCGGCCGGCCGGUUGAGCUUUUUUUUGCCUCCAAACGCCCGAUUACUGCUCGGUGCCGAGCCUCCCUGUCUCCACUCCACUUCCACCCACUACUGAUUGACACUGGACAAUUUACAAUCAGUGAAAAUGAUCAAGAGAAGCAGUUCAAUGUCCAUCGAUUUACAAUCAGUCUAGCAAUCAUUUGCGAUCAUAAGCAGGAAAUGAAUCACAUGGCAGGUAGUUCAGGUUCAUCUUAGAAGCAAGCAGAGGAUGAGUACCUUGUCGGAGGGCGCUGGGCGCCUGCAGGGGGGGCCGGAGGAGAAGCCGAGAGGGCCGGAUGCGCGGAGGGGAGUGCCGGAGGCCGAGAGGGCCGGCCGAAGGAAAGGGACCGAGGGAGAGCCGGCCGCCGGAGCCGGACCUGGAAUCGCUUGCUGCCGCCGCCUUCAGCUAGGCUGGGGAAUGGGGAUUGAUCUGGAAUCGGGGGGUGAGGGAGAUGCUCUCUCGCUCCAGACAACCAGUCGGUCGNNNNNNNNNNNNNNNNNNNNNNNNNNNNNNNNNNNNNNNNNNNNNNNNNNNNNNNNNNNNNNNNNNNNNNNNNNNNNNNNNNNNNNNNNNNNNNNNNNNNNNNNNNNNNNNNNNNNNNNNNNNNNNNNNNNNNNNNNNNNNNNNNNNNNNNNNNNNNNNNNNNNNNNNNNNNNNNNNNNNNNNNNNNNNNNNNNNNNNNNNNNNNNNNNNNNNNNNNNNNNNNNNAAAUGUCUGGUUUGGUUUUUUGAGUCUGGUUUGGUGAGUGGCUACGUGCCUGCAGUUUGGGCUGGACUUGGUACGUGGGCCAAAAGAUCAACGCAUAACAUUAUGGGGCCCAGAUUUUUUGGUAUUUCAGGGAAUUCUCGGGAAUACCCCGAGAUCACUAAUUGAGGAGUACUCCUUCUAAAAGACCUCUAGACACAAAAAAAGAAGAUCUCUCUCACCUUGCUAAGUUGCGAUAAGUGGCGCGCUGCAUAUGCCACUUGUCGCAACCUGGGAGUUUUUCUUUUUUCGUAGAUUCGUUUACUCAAAACAUUUUAUCUCUUGAACCAUGCGUCCAAAUAUCGAACCGUUUUCAUCGUUGGGUCACUCGCAUCGAGAUAUUUAAAACUAAAUCCCAUGUUGAUAGAUUUCGAUAGAUAUCUUUUCACGAAAAAAGGACGAAAAACCCGAACUGGGAGGCAUGUUUUUCUUUCCUUUCCGAAGAGGCACGUGUUCUUUCCCUUUGCGAGAGGCACAACCGAACCUCUCGCGGAAGAAAAUCCGUGCCUCUAUGAGAAGUUAAUCUGUGCCUCGUGGAAGGUUAAAAAAAAUAAAGCACAUUUUUCACGCAUUUUUUCCUUUUCUUUUUUGGGUCUAAAUCUUAAGAAAAACCAGAGGUCGUCCCGCACGCCAUCAAACUUGGUGAAGAGGCUAUCGAGCUUUGCAAAAUUUUCACAAACAUCCUUCGUAGCCCCUUGAGUGUCUUGGUGCGUUGCUCCACCCGCUUGCGGUCGAUGUCUUCAUCCAACCCACCCUUGAGGAGGUCGUAGAUCCGGCGCCCUUCAGUUGAUAGCUCCUCCAUGCCCGUCGUGUGACACCUGGUCUUGUGCCGUGUGAAGUGGCUAUGCACCGGACGCGCGAGAACUGUACGCUCUGAAUACCAUAUUGUCGGCACUAGCUCAAGUAGCAACUAACCCUAGAGUUGGAGACAAGGAAGAUCGAGAGAAAAUGGCGAGUUGUUGUGUUUAUCCACCAAUCCACCCACACGUCUGUAUACAACUAGGCAGGCUCCAUAUUCUUCUAUAUUCCUGAUAUGUGUGCUGCUAAACAUAGUGCAGAGAAAACUAAUAAUGUGGUGAUUACUAUAGUGGAGGGUGAUGCUACUGUUAAAGACAUUGAGUAGGAAUUUAAUGCUAUAUUUGCCAAAAAACCUGGGAAAAAGAAAUGGCGCUGUACGGCCCGCUCUAUUGGCCCUGCUUAGUAUGUGAUGCGAUUCCCUAAUGCUAGUGAAGUAGAAAGGGCAUGUUGUUAUGGAAAACGCUUGCCUCUGAAGGAAGGGAACAUUGUUGUAUGUAUUACUCCUUGGACUGCUUCUAUUGGAGCCAAAGGCAUUAUGGAGAAAGCAUGGGUUAGGGUUCGCAACAUUCCCAUAGAGAAAAGAUGCACUGAACAUAUAGCUUAUACUGGAGCUCUAGUUGGGAUUACUUUAGAAGUUGAUGAAUCGACCGUUCAUAAACCUGAAUAUGCUAGAAUCCUUCUCGGUUGUAGAGAGGUUGAGAAAAUUCCCCCUUCAGCUGAAGGAAUGCUGGGAGAACAGUAUUAUGAUUUUUUCUAUGAAGUUGAAAAAGUUGUGACUGUGGGUGCUGAGAAAAGUCAGUCCUAUACUGCUGUGGAUAGCAGUGCAUCUCCUUCCUUCCCCAAGAAAGCGAGGAUGGACUCAUAUCCUGCUUCUUCCAUGGGGCAGGGGGAGACGAAUACAUCCGUGACUGGUAAUUUUUCCUCUCAGAACUAUGGUAAGGGUAUGCAGAGGCUUCCGGCAGUGGCUGAGAGUGAAGAAGAAGAUGAGAGUGAGGAAGGUAACAACACAGAGCUUCUGAUUGAGACUAUGGCCAGAGAACAUGCGGCUGAAAAAAUGUCUUAUUGUGGAUCUCAAUCUGAUAAAAAAUCAUGUGAGAAUGUCUCUGAGGAUUUGAAAGUGGAAGAGAUGACUGAAUCUCCCAGUAAUGAGAUCAGUGUGCAUCAAGGUGCUUGGGGAAUGAUUACUCCUGUUCCACCCUCACCUCUGUUUAUGUGUCACGAUGUGAAUACUUAUGGGAAUGCUUUUCCUCCCUUGUCAGACUAUGUGGUUUGGCCCUCCCUGCCUCACAUUGUGCCUCUCGAAGAGGGUUUCAUGGAAGGAGGAGAAAACUGCAGUGUCUAUACAGUUGAAUCUCCCUCCAGAUGAUAUCCCUGUAGAAUUCUAUCAACACUGCUGGGAGGUAGUAGCCCAAGACCUUCUAUGCUUAUUUGAUUGGUUUCAUGAUGGCAAGCUAGAUGUACAACGACUUAACUAUGGCAUCAUAACCUUGUUGCCUAAGUCAACUGAUGCUAGUAGGAUCCAACAAUAUAGACCCAUUUGUCUAUUGCGCUGCCCCUACAAACUACUUACAAAAGCCAUGGAUAUUAGAGCUAGCAAAUAUGCACACAAGCUGUUUAGUAUUCACCAGAAUGCUUUUAUUAAGGGGAGACACAUAGUGGAUGGAAUCCUAUCUCUCCAUGAAAUUUUGCAUUAUACUCAUUUCAGAAGGCAGGUGGGAGUGGUUUUGAAACUUGACUUUGAAAAAGCAUAUGACAAAGUCAAUUGGGACUUUUUGCUUGACUGUCAUAGGAAACGUGGGUUUAAUUCUAAGUGGUGUGGGUGGGUCUCGCAAAUACUGAAGAAUGGCACAAUUAGUGUCAAGAUCAAUGAUGAAGUGGGACCUUACAUCUAAAGUGCUAAGGGGGUGAGGCAGGGGGAUCCUCACUCCCCUUUCCUGUUUAAUAUUGCGGCUGACUGUCUGACCAAAAUGGUACUUACAGCACAAAAAAAUGGCCUCAUUAAAGGUUUAGCUGCUGAUCUUAUUGAGAAUGGGGUUUGCAUCCUGCAAUACGCGGAUGACACAGUACUUUGUUUUGAGCAUGAUAUUGACAAAGCUGUGAAUAUCAAGCUCUUGCUUUAUCUCUUCGAACUUAUGUCUGGGCUUAAGAUCAAUUUUGAGAAGAGUGAAAUAUUUAGUAUCGGGGGGGAUAAUGAUACUGAUUUGGUGUAUGCCAACAUGUUUGGGUGUCAAGUGGGCACACUUCCCAUGAAAUAUCUGGGAGUCCCUGUUACUUAUUCUACCCUCAAGAAUGCGGAUCUAGAUUUCCUUGACGGAAAAAUGAUCAAAAAACUUGAUGCCUGGGUAGCAUAUGCAGCAUCUUCUGGAGCUAGACUAACGUUGCUAGGGUCCAGUUUGGAUGGA